CGUAAGAUUAGCUAGUUGGUGGGGUAAAGGCCUACCAAGGCGACGAUCUUUAGCUGGUCUGAGAGGAUGAUCAGCCACACUGGGACUGAGACACGGCCCAGACUCCUACGGGAGGCAGCAGGUGGGGAAUAUUGGACAAUGGGCGAAAGCCUGAUCCAGCAAUGCCGCGUGAGUGAUGAAGGCCUUAGGGUUGUAAAGCUCUUUUACCCGAGAUGAUAAUGACAGUAUCGGGAGAAUAAGCUCCGGCUAACUCCGUG
Molecule: ribosomal RNA, 257 nt
Filed under: uncultured bacterium
Lineage: Bacteria
Description: partial 16S ribosomal RNA
Rfam family: Bacterial small subunit ribosomal RNA
Source: RNAcentral